This 71-nucleotide transfer RNA is filed under the name Hungatella hathewayi. RNAcentral's name for it is "tRNA-Met". It matches the Rfam family "tRNA". From Rfam's summary of the family: Transfer RNA (tRNA) molecules are approximately 80 nucleotides in length. Their secondary structure includes four short double-helical elements and three loops (D, anti-codon, and T loops). The record is from RNAcentral. Lineage: Bacteria; Bacillati; Bacillota; Clostridia; Lachnospirales; Lachnospiraceae.
CGCGGGAUCUUCCAAUGGUAGGAUACCGGGCUCAUGACCCGGUGCUAGAGGUUCAAAUCCUCUUCCCGCUA